RNAcentral lists this ribosomal RNA (551 nucleotides) under Botryotrichum piluliferum. RNAcentral's name for it is "eukaryotic LSU rRNA". The stretch from base 182 to 335 matches the Rfam family "5.8S ribosomal RNA". The record is from RNAcentral. Lineage: Eukaryota; Fungi; Ascomycota; Sordariomycetes; Sordariales; Chaetomiaceae.
GGAUCAUUACAGAGUUGCAAAACUCCCUAAACCAUUGUGAACGUUACCUUCAAACCGUUGCUUCGGCGGGCGGCCCGGGUCCGCCCGGUGCCCCCUGGCCCCCUAGCGGGGCGCCCGCCGGAGGAAAACCCAACUCUUGAUUAUUAUGGCCUCUCUGAGUCUUCUGUACUGAAUAAGUCAAAACUUUCAACAACGGAUCUCUUGGUUCUGGCAUCGAUGAAGAACGCAGCGAAAUGCGAUAAGUAAUGUGAAUUGCAGAAUUCAGUGAAUCAUCGAAUCUUUGAACGCACAUUGCGCCCGCCAGUAUUCUGGCGGGCAUGCCUGUUCGAGCGUCAUUUCAACCAUCAAGCCCCAGGCUUGUGUUGGGGACCUGCGGCUGCCGCAGGCCCUGAAAACCAGUGGCGGGCUCGCUGUCACACCGGGCGUAGUAGAUUUUAUCUCGCUCUGGGCGUGCUGCGGGUUCCGGCCGUUAAAAAACCCUUUUAACCCAAGGUUGACCUCGGAUCAGGUAGGAAUACCCGCUGAACUUAAGCAUAUCAAUAAGCGGAGGA